UUUAAUUUUUUAAUGGCAACGUGGUGCUUCAAUUUAUUAUUAAUAAUAAUAAAUUCUGUAAAAAUAAUUAUAUUCAAAAUAACGGUUUACUUGCUGGAAAUUAGGAACCAAAUUACCCUUGCUAAACCCUUUUGCAAUUUCGCUAUCACCACACGCGAAAAUUCUGCAUCGUCAUCGUCGUCUGCAUCAGUUUCGCGAGCCGAUGGUGGUGACGCCGACGAUCCUCCUCCGCUUCGUCCGACUCGCCGACCCUAAAUCCUCCUCUCACUUCUCGUUCGACGCGCCGUCUUGUCUGCAUCGUCGUCGGCAUCUGCUCGUCGUCGGGAACGUAGACCACGGUCGUUGGCUUAAAGGUAAACACGCCGUAGUGCACAAUUGGUGGCACUGAACUGAAGUAUCAUGAUAGCAUAAGCUGCUAUGUACUACGAAAUAUAUUUUUGGGGAAUGAAGUUCCAUUAUCAUUGGCAUUAACAUGUGGUUUCUUCACAAAUUAUAUCCACUUAUUAAAAAAUUGUAGUAAGUUUGUCUGUAUAUGAGGAUAUUUGUGGUUUGCUACUCCAAGCUAAUGAAAGCAACAGUAGGCUCUUGUUUGCAGAUCCUUGAAUGUUUUGCUUACAAAUCCGAUCUGGGUACUCGUCACUCGGAUGCAGCGUCUUUGUUCAUAUACACAAACCCAAGCAAAAAGAAAUAUAUGCUGGACACCUGCUGGCUGCAGUUAAGAUUUUGCUUGUCUAACUUUUGUAUGCACUGUUUAGGGUGAAAUGUAUGAUGCAUGUGGAAUGUGGAUUGACUUGCAGCUUAGUAUAUUUCACUUUUUGGAGCAGCUGUUUAUAGUCUGUUCUAAUGCAAAACUUUCAUUCGCGUUCGAGUGUCAUCUUAUUUAUUUUUAGGUUUCUGUCUGACAUUUCUAAAUUUUUGUUUUGGUAAACUUAAUUUUUGUAAGGAUCUUUUUCCUCUUGGUUAUUCUCAAACAAUCUGCAAGCUAUCUGGUUCUAUGUGUAGGAGUUUUUGUGAAGCUUUUUAUUGAGAUAACUAAUGAAUUUUCUGAAAUAUUGUUCUACAACAUUUCAUAAGCACCAAAAAGUACUUAAUUCCACAAUAGCAUUUGAUUGACUACAAGCUGGAAAACUAGCAUAUUUUCCUAUAUUUGCAUUCCCUAUUCAAAUUCGGAAUCUUCAUCAUUGUCAGAUGAUGGCUGCUGAGACUCAUCACUGUCAGAUGGCUGCUGAGACUCAUCACUGUCGCUCAGAAUGUAUGUUAUCGGUUUCCUGUUCCCCUGUUGUGGUCUAGGUCUUGAUGGCAUAACUUCAUUAAUGGUAUCCAAAGAAUUUUCUUUAUUGUUGUCUUCAGAAUUAGGCUCUACUUCUUCCAUUCUGUUCAAAACAAACCCACUUUUCUUAUGGAAAGGAGAAGGCCUCAUCCUCCUUACCUUCGCCUCAGGUGAUGUGUCUGUUGUAUCUGAAGCUUUGAAGCUAUCAGUUAUCAGCUUUUGUCCUGCCUGUGAUGUCUUACUGGCUGCCCCUCUUUUCUUUGUUCCUGCAGCAGCUCACCCCUUCCUUUCAUCACAUGUUCUGCAAAUUCAGGCUCAAAGUUGCCAUCAUCAUUUGAGAUGUCUUCGACUACUUUGGCAUCUGCAUGUAUUGGUGCAUCAAAUUCCAUUCCUGUUCGAGACAAGAAAAUCAAUUACUAACAAAUAAUCCAAUUUUUUAAUUUUUAGGAAGUAAGGAAUGGAAAUUCACCAGCUUCUUUUUCAAGAGAGGAAUCCAACUGCUAGGCAGCAAGCCGUUGUCUUAGAUCUGACUUUCAUUUCAUUUUUGAUACACACAAAUAUUAUUCAUUGUCUAUAUUAAAGUAUUUGUGAUUUCUUGUGUAUAGUGCCCUCGCCAACCGCCUGGUACUCUAGACUGUGGAUAUUAUGUGUGUCGCUACAUGCUUGAGACGGUACAGUUGAGGCGACUAGUUAUUCCUGAUAAGUACUAUCAAGGCAUUGGUCCAACAUAUUCUCAAGAGAAAAUUGAUGAACUCAGAGAGUUGUGGAUUACAUAUGUCAAAGAUCAACACGAAGCACAAAUGAUGAAUGAGUUCGAACUUUUCGCCUAAUUUUUUUAACCUUAUUCCACUUUUGGACAUACAUUAUAUUUUUUGGAUUUGGAUAUUGAUAUCAUGUGGAUGUGGCUAUGGGAUAGAUUUGAUCUUGUUAUGAUUUAGAUUAAUAUUAAUAUGUAUAUAUAGUAGUUUUUUUAGAAGUUUAGAUUUAUGAAUAUUAGUUGAAUUAUUUUGUAAUAUAAAGAAUUUUGGAAGUUUGGAAUAUCAAUUUAAUUUAUUGGUUGUGA
This is a long non-coding RNA of Beta vulgaris subsp. vulgaris (sugar beet), 2333 nucleotides long. RefSeq lists it as uncharacterized. The record is from RefSeq and is a predicted model, not a curated record. Lineage: Eukaryota; Viridiplantae; Streptophyta; Magnoliopsida; Caryophyllales; Amaranthaceae. The transcript is spliced from 4 exons.